Chelonia mydas (Green sea turtle) is the source of this 290-nucleotide long non-coding RNA. RefSeq lists it as uncharacterized. Lineage: Eukaryota; Metazoa; Chordata; Testudines; Cheloniidae. The record is from RefSeq and is a predicted model, not a curated record. The transcript is spliced from 2 exons.
UUCAACUUAUCCUCAUGGCAUUUCAUUACUGCAUGAAAAGGUAUUUCCUUCUGAGAUUUACUCUACAUUUUCAGCAGGGCUUGUCUUUUCUUGCAUGUACCUGGAUGUCAGGAAAAGAAUGAUGUUUAGUUGGUCUGGAAUGUUUCUCAUAAGGGACAUCUCAGUCUUCAAACCUGCAAAACAUAAACUUUCUUUGUAUCACUGCCAGAUAAUAUUGUGUAAAGGCUUUUUAAAUAGUUGCUUUGCUUUAUAACCUAUUCACUUCAAUAAUAUUUCCCUGGGGUUCAUUU